RNAcentral lists this ribosomal RNA (253 nucleotides) under uncultured bacterium. RNAcentral's name for it is "partial 16S ribosomal RNA". It matches the Rfam family "Bacterial small subunit ribosomal RNA", at positions 524 to 776 of the family's 1533-position model. The record is from RNAcentral.
UACGAAGGGGGCUAGCGUUGCUCGGAAUUACUGGGCGUAAAGCGCACGUAGGCGGAUUGUUAAGUCGGGGGUGAAAUCCUGGAGCUCAACUCCAGAACUGCCUUCGAUACUGGCGAUCUCGAGUUCGGGAGAGGUGAGUGGAACUGCGAGUGUAGAGGUGAAAUUCGUAGAUAUUCGCGAGAACACCAGUGGCGAAGGCGGCUCACUGGCCCGAUACUGACGCUGAGGUGCGAAAGCGUGGGGAGCAAACAGG